AGCGAACGCUGGCGGCAGGCUUAACACAUGCAAGUCGAGCGGGCGUAGCAAUACGUCAGCGGCGGACGGGUGAGUAACGCGUGGGAACGUACCUUUGGUUCGGAACAACACAGGGAAACUUGUGCUAAUACCGGAUAAGCCCUUACGGGGAAAGAUUUAUCGCCGAAAGAUCGGCCCGCGUCUGAUUAGCUAGUUGGUGAGGUAACGGCUCACCAAGGCGACGAUCAGUAGCUGGUCUGAGAGGAUGAUCAGCCACAUUGGGACUGAGACACGGCCCAAACUCCUACGGGAGGCAGCAGUGGGGAAUAUUGGACAAAUGGGGCGCAAGCCUGAUCCAGCCAUGCCGCGUGAGUGAUGAAGGCCCUAGGGUUGUAAAGCUCUUUUGUGCGGGAAGAUAAUGACGGUACCGCAAGAAUAAGCCCCGGCUAACUUCGUGCCAGCAGCCGCGGUAAU
RNAcentral lists this ribosomal RNA (453 nucleotides) under uncultured bacterium. Its description in RNAcentral is "bacterial SSU rRNA". It matches the Rfam family "Bacterial small subunit ribosomal RNA", at positions 29 to 524 of the family's 1533-position model. The record is from RNAcentral.